This 194-nucleotide microRNA precursor is filed under the name Oryza brachyantha (malo sina). Its description in RNAcentral is "MIR812 microRNA precursor family". It matches the Rfam family "MIR812 microRNA precursor family". The record is from Rfam by way of RNAcentral. Lineage: Eukaryota; Viridiplantae; Streptophyta; Magnoliopsida; Poales; Poaceae.
AAUAAACCAAUUUACCACUUUUUACCUAUAAUUUUUGACUUUUCAUUUUAUCCAAAUUUUUUUUACGAUUGAUAUUUUUAUUUUUAUUAGAUGAUAAAUCAUGAAUAGUACUUUACGUGUGACUAAUUUUUUUUCUAAUUUUCUGAAAAUUUUUCAAAUAAAACGAACAGUGAAACAUUGGACACGGAAACCGA